GACGAACGCUGGCGGCGUGCCUAACACAUGCAAGUCGAACGAGGUCCAUCCUUCGGGAGAAGACCUAGUGGCGAACGGGUGAGUAACACGUGAGAAACCUGCCCCGAAGACCGGGAUAACCCUCCGAAAGGAGAGCUAAUACCGGAUACCCCCACCGAGCCGCAUGGUUUGGUGAGGAAAUGGAUUCCGCUUCGGGAGGGUCUCGCGGCCUAUCAGCUAGUUGGUGGGGUAACGGCCCACCAAGGCAUCGACGGGUAGCUGGUCUGAGAGGACGAUCAGCCACACUGGGACUGAGACACGGCCCAGACUCCUACGGGAGGCAGCAGUGGGGAAUCUUGCGCAAUGGGCGAAAGCCUGACGCAGCAACGCCGCGUGGGGGAUGAAGGCUCUCGGGUUGUAAACCCCUUUCAGCAGGGACGAAAUCAGACGGUACCUGCAGAAGAAGCUCCGGCUAACUACGUG
RNAcentral lists this ribosomal RNA (462 nucleotides) under uncultured bacterium. Its description in RNAcentral is "bacterial SSU rRNA". It matches the Rfam family "Bacterial small subunit ribosomal RNA", at positions 28 to 507 of the family's 1533-position model. The record is from RNAcentral.